CCUGUUUAUCAAAAACAUCGCCUUUUGAUUUUAUAUAAGGUCUAACCUGCCCACUGAGUAUUAAAGGGCCGCGGUAUUUUGACCGUGCAAAGGUAGCAUAAUCAUUAGUCUUCUAAUUAAAGGCUGGCAUGAAUGGUUGAACGAAGUAUAAGCUGUCUCAUAGAAAUUAAUAAAAUUUAACUUUUCAGUGAAAAGGCUGAAAUAGGAUUGGAGGACGAGAAGACCCUAUAGAGCUUAAUAAUUAUUAUUAGCUAGAAUGUAGUAGAUGUUUAUAAUUAGUAUAAAUUAUUUUGUUGGGGUGACAAGAAAAUAAGAGAACUUUUCUUUUAUAGGCCAUGGAUAAAUGAAUGUAAGAUCCGUAAUAACGAAUAUAAGAUUAAGUUACCUUAGGGAUAACAGCGUAAUCUUUUUUGAGAGUUCAAAUCGACAAAAGGGAUUGCGACCUCGAUGUUGGACUAAGGAGAAUUUUGGGUGCAGAUGUUCAAAGUUUAGGUCUGUUCGACCUUUAAAAUCUUACAUGAUCUGAGUUCAAACC
Molecule: ribosomal RNA, 535 nt
Filed under: Stygifloris sp. BYU IGCEP141
Lineage: Eukaryota; Metazoa; Arthropoda; Insecta; Ephemeroptera; Potamanthidae
Description: partial 16S ribosomal RNA
Rfam family: Bacterial large subunit ribosomal RNA
Source: RNAcentral